AGCAUUUUAGAAUUUGCUGGUUUUUUUUUUUUUCCCCUUGAACCCACUUUAACAUUCAGCAUCAAGGCUUUAACAUCAGUCAUCCCAUGUAGCCAAGGCUAGGUCAAAGACCAUAUUAGCUAACUGCCUUGAGCCUUAAACCUUUGGGAUUUGCCAUAGGAGAGAGUUGAGUGUAUUGAUAUGACUGCUAUGGGCUUGGCUUGGUUUCUCAUUCAUUCAUUCACUUGACAAACAUUUAAUUGAAUGGCUACCAUGUGCCAGACACUAGGUGCAAAGAUAACUGAGACCUUAUGGAAUACUGGGGAAGAAAGGCAAGACUAUACAGUGUCCAGAGAAAGCAGGCUCUGGCCAGGCGUGGUGGCUCACACCUGUAAUCUCAGAACAUUGGGAGGCCAAGGCGGGAAGAUCCCUUGAGACCAGGAGUUUGAGACCAGCGUGAAUAAGACGGGUGAAAAUUCUGUGAUACCUUUCCUCAGCCUUCAAAAGGGUCAUGGCUGCCGGGAGUGGUGGCUCAUGCCUAUAAUCCCAGCACUUUGGGAGGCCAAGGUUGUGAACUGGAAGAGAGUAAGCAUGCUGUGAUACCCAGGAAAGGCUCCGAUUUGUUCCCUCAUGGCCUCAAGGUGGCUGCAGCAGUGCUAGACUAAAUCCUCACUUACAAAGCCUCAAGCUUAGAAGACAGAACAUCCCUUCCUUGUGACUCUUUUUGAAAGUGAAGAAGAAUCUGUUAGAACCUCCUGAAAAGACUUACUCUCAUGUCUCAUUAGUCUGAAUUCUGUCACAGGACAAGUCCUAAACCAAACAUUGCAAAGGAAAUGGCAGAGGGGAUUAGCUCUUCUGAAGCUAAAGAUCUGUUUGCAGUCAGAAAACAGGUAGGCAACUGACACUAUUUGUUGGAGCGAAAGUGAUAUUAUAGAAGUAACUUUCAAUUGUUGUACCAUUUAUAUAAAAUAAAUAAAUGAAAAAGUGUUCUUAGUACCACAAUAGUUACUAUAGGCAAAAUCCAUUGAUGAAUACUACUCUUAGUAGGUGAGACUUUAAGGAGAAGCAGGGUAUUUGCAUAGCUGGAAAGGAAUUUCCCAAAUACAUUUAUUAAUUACUAUUAAUGGUGGGUUUUGACAUACACUCCCAAAUUCUUCUACGAGGAGGUGAAGUUUAAUUUCUGUCUCCUUUAUUAUGAGUUUGACUUAGAAACUUGCUUCUAAGGACUGGAGUGUGGAAAGGAAAAAAUACCUUUACAGCACAGAAACCGGCAGAUACUACCUUAACUGAACGAUCAAUGUUAACAUCACCCGUAAUAAGUUGUACUGACAUGAUGUAUCCCUUAUAUGAUGUGAUGAGAAGGGCACCUCACCUCUGUGGUAUAUGGUAUUAUUCCUCCAAAUCUAUAAGCUCAGUCUAAUAAUGAGAAAGCACCAGACAAAUCCAAAUGGAGCCAAUAUCAUGAAAAGCAAAUGAGGAAAGGCUGGCAGAUUGUCAGAGUUGAGUUUAUAAGGAGACAGGAUGACUUAAUGCAACAUGGUAUCCUGAAUCGAAUCCUGGAACAGGAAAAGGACAUCAGUGGGAAAACCAGUAAAAUCUGAAUAAUUCUAUAGUUUAUAGUAUUGUUAAUGUUAAUUUCUCAGUUUUAUAAAUGCACCAUGGUUAUGUAGCAUGUUAGCAUUAGGGGAAAUGGGAUGAAGGGUACAUAGGAACUGUCUGUGUUAUCUUUGCAACCCUUCCAUUAAUCUAAAAAUAUGUCACGAUUCAAAGUUUUAAAACAAUUCAGUUAUUAGGGCAAAAAGGUUUCUUUAUCAUUAGGUCUAAUUACUUUCAACAUAUCUCUCAAUAGAUCAUGACACUGCAAUGUCUCAUGGUGUCCCCUUUGGUUGAGAACAGCUGCUACUUUGUUCAUUUAUUACGUAUUAACAGACAUCUCUAUGUGCCAGGCAUGAUGCUACCAAUGAUGAACUGAGAAGAUACUGCCCUGGCCCUCCUGCAACUCACAUUCAAUUGACCUAAACUGGGAAGCAAAGUUUUUUCCUAUCCAAUACAAUAGUGAUUUGCAGAGAAUCCCCAACUUUGAGGGUUUUGAAAUGAGUUACAGAUUUUUGGUUUUUAAGAUUUGACACAAACUGUAUUGAAUAUGGAAAAUUGAUGCUACUCAUUUUUGAAUACCAGCAAGUGAAAUUAGUCCUUACAGUUUUUUUUUUUUUUUUACAAAAGGAGAUAUGAGUUAAGGGUUUUACUUAUGCUGGAACAUAAUGUUUUACUCCUUUUGUCCAAGAGUAAGCAUGGGCCAUUUCAGCUAAAGUAAGGAAUUUGUUCAGUUACUAUCAGGUUCAGGAAAACAACAAACAAACAAACAAACAAAUAGAAUGUAUUAGAUUUACCAAUGACUGAAGACAGGAUUGGGAGACUUUGAUGACAAACCUUGUACUGUUUGACUUAGCACAUUGGCAAAUCUGAUUGUAAUAUAUGUCAGAUGAGUUCUAAAAAGGUGAAUACAGAAUUUAAUAAAGAGGGAAUAGAAAAAGACAAGUUAUUAGAAUGUAAAAUAGAAACAACACUUAGGCUUAGAGACCCAGGAAUUCACAGCUUUUUAAUAGUGCUUUGUCUCAUGCUUGCUGAAUCUUUCCUGUAAUUACCUGAAUGAAAAAUGGUCUUAAAAUAAAUGAACAGAACAUUGUACCUUUCCCAAGACAAUGCUGCAGCUAUGUCAGGAUACCUGUAGGAGGUUGUAAUAAGGCUGCUGGGUGAAUUUUAAGUCAAAAUUUAUUUAAAACAAUCAUGUUAAUUAUUCAUAAACAACAACCAGAGUAACAUAAAGUUAUUUUCAGGUUUAUUUUUGAUUAUUUAGAAAUGAUUAUUAUAUUCAUUUUGGUUAUUUUACCAUCAUAUACAUACACAAAAAAGAAAAUAAAAUCACUAAAGACCAGUUUGUUUCAAAAAAUCAAUUUUGGUCAAGAUUCAUCCUAUAGGAUUCAGAAAAUAUUUUCUGCAGCUAAAUAAAACGGAAAAGCUUCAUUUCAGUCAAGCUCAAUGAACAUUGUUUUCAUCAGUGAGAUGUGUGAUUUUUGUACCUACUCUGAUUCUCUUGAUCACUGCGUUUUUUUCCCCACAGUGAACUUUUACAGCUUUUACUCGACUAUGUCUCUUCCUCCUCUUAAUGAUAUCACCCCAAUAUUUUUUAUUGAGGUGAUUUUACAAGCAGUGAUAUGUACAGAUCUUAAGUGCCCAAUUAAAUGAGUUUAGACAAAUGCAUAUGCUCAUAUAAUACCAUCUCAAUUAAGAUACAGACCACUGGGCUGGGCACAGUGGCUCAUGCCUGUAAUCCCAGCACUUUGGGGAGGCCAAGGUGGGAGGAUCGCUUGAGCUCAGGAGUUUGAGACCAGCCUGGGUAACACGGAGAAACCAUGUCUCCAAAAAAGAAAAGAAAAGAAAGAAAAAUGAUACAGAACAUUUCCAUCGCUCCAGAAAGUUCCUUCAUGCACCAGGCAGUCAACUCUUAACCCCCAUACACAAAAAUAUUGUAAUUCCGUCACCAUAGAUUAAUUGCCUGUCUUUGAACUUCACAUACAUGGAAUUGUUCAGUAUGUAUUUCAGUGUGUCUGGCUUCUUUUGCUCAACAUAUUUUUGAGAUUCACUCCGUUGCUGUGUGCAUCAAUAGCUUAUUCCUUUUCACUGCUGAGUAAUGUUCUAUUAUGUGACUAAACUACAACUUGCUUAUGAACUCUUCUGUUGAUGGGCAUAACAUUGCAAUAAAUAUUCUUGUAGUAGUUUUUUGGUGGACAUAUGUUUUAAUUGUCUUGGGUAAAACCUAAGAAUGAAAUUGCUGAGUCAUAGGGUAGGUGUAUAUUUAACUGUAUAAGAAACUGACAGUUUUGCAAAAUGCAUCAUUUUACAAUUCUACUAGCAAUAUAUGAUACUUCAAUUGUUCUGUGUCUGUCAACAUUUGCUGUUGUCAUUUAAUUUUAGCCAUCCUAGUGCAUGAAAUGGUAACUCAUUGUGGUUUUCAUUUAUAUUGUUAUAACGAUUAAAAAGA
This is a long non-coding RNA of Gorilla gorilla gorilla (western lowland gorilla), 4021 nucleotides long. RefSeq lists it as uncharacterized. The transcript has 5 exons. Lineage: Eukaryota; Metazoa; Chordata; Mammalia; Primates; Hominidae. The record is from RefSeq and is a predicted model, not a curated record.